Molecule: ribosomal RNA, 327 nt
Filed under: Triticum aestivum (bread wheat)
Lineage: Eukaryota; Viridiplantae; Streptophyta; Magnoliopsida; Poales; Poaceae
Description: partial small subunit ribosomal RNA
Source: RNAcentral
AUGGCGCGGCCGCCCCUGCCCGGCGUCUCCAUGGCGGACCGGUGGCGGCGGCACGUCGUCGUCGUCGUCGAGGACGACCACGCCUCCUUCGUCGCGGCCGCGACGCCGAGCUUCGAAGUGCUCGAAGGCGAGGCGCUGGCGUUGCAGCUCCGUCUGCACGCCCACUUCAGGGCCGCCGCGUCGUCGAGCUCCUCCUCCUGGACGCCGCCGGCGAGCCCGAGCUCCGUCUUCACGACGGGGAGCCCCGGCUCCGUCUUGACGGUGGCGAGCCCCGGCUCCGUCUUUGGCUUGACGGAGGCAAGCCCCAGCGCCUGCCACCCUCGUUGA